RNAcentral lists this transfer RNA (65 nucleotides) under Astrapogon stellatus (conchfish). RNAcentral's name for it is "tRNA-Phe". The record is from RNAcentral. Lineage: Eukaryota; Metazoa; Chordata; Actinopteri; Kurtiformes; Apogonidae.
UCGUAGCUUAAUCAAAGCAUAACACUGAAGAUGUUAGGAUGGGCCCUGAACAGGCUCCGAAAGCA